UACGGAGGAUCCAAGCGUUAUCCGGAUUUAUUGGGUUUAAAGGGUGCGUAGGCGGCUCAUUAAGUCAGGGGUGAAAGACGGUGGCUCAACCAUCGCAGUGCCUUUGAUACUGAUGAGCUUGAAUACACUAGAGGUAGGCGGAAUGAGACAAGUAGCGGUGAAAUGCAUAGAUAUGUCUCAGAACACCAAUUGCGAAGGCAGCUUACUAUGGUGUCAUUGACGCUGAGGCACGAAAGCGUGGGGAUCAAACAGG
RNAcentral lists this ribosomal RNA (253 nucleotides) under uncultured bacterium. Its description in RNAcentral is "partial 16S ribosomal RNA". It matches the Rfam family "Bacterial small subunit ribosomal RNA", at positions 524 to 776 of the family's 1533-position model. The record is from RNAcentral.